AGCGAACGCUGGCGGCAGGCCUAACACAUGCAAGUCGAACGAACCGUUUACGGUGAGUGGCGCACGGGUGAGUAACACGUGGGAAUAUACAUUUCGGUAAGGAAUAACGUAGAGAAAUUUACGCUAAUACCUUAUAAUGACUACGGUCCAAAGAUUUAUCGCCGAAGGAUUAGCCCGCGUUAGAUUAGGUAGUUGGUGGGGUAAUGGCCUACCAAGCCUACGAUCUAUAGCUGGUCUUAGAGGAUGAUCAGCCACACUGGAACUGAGACACGGUCCAGACUCCUACGGGAGGCAGCAGUGAGGAAUAUUGCGCAAUGGGGGAAACCCUGACGCAGCCAUGCCGCGUGAGUGACGAAGGCCUUAGGGUUGUAAAGCUCUUUCAGAUGUAAAGAUAAUGACGGUAACAUCAGAAGAAGCUCCGGCUAAAUUCGUGUCAGCAGCCGCGGUAA
Molecule: ribosomal RNA, 449 nt
Filed under: uncultured bacterium
Lineage: Bacteria
Description: partial 16S ribosomal RNA
Rfam family: Bacterial small subunit ribosomal RNA
Source: RNAcentral